CACCCUAGGGUAUGUCCCAAGACUGCAGAGCGCAUUGGAUUUAUCAGUUACAAAAUCAAAUAAUUAUAUGUGUCAUAUAUAAGAAUUAGGUUCAGAAUUUUCUAACUUUUUAGUUUGUAUUUGAAUAUUCCAAAUAUAUCAACAUGACGAUUUGUUAACCCACAUCACAAGGUGAAUAUAGGUGAUAAAUUGAAGUUCCUUCCCUUUCUUGAACUUGAAUUUGAGGUGCUGAAUGAAAUAGAUGAACACCAGAAAUUAAUGAUGGUGGAGUCUAUGCCAAUUUAAAAGGCAUCUUUUAGCCUUAGCCCACAUAACUAUGUUGUCAGAUAGCAAAUUCAUAACUAAAAGGGAAAAUUCUACAAAUCAUAUUCUCAUAGAUUGUUUUCAGAUUUUCCUUUCAACUUGUUGGUAGUGUCUGAAUAUGUAGUUGAGAUAUGGAUAGGAGUAGCAAAGAAUAUGGAAAAAUGUAAAUUCUCUGGUCUAGAAUUUUCUAAUUUGAUGUUCUUAUCAGAGCUACAAGAUUUGAGCUACCUUUCAAUACCUGACCUGGUUAUUGACAAAGCAAACUUGAAUUGGAUUAAGAUCUAAUCUGUAAGAGAUUUUAAUAGAAAGAGGAAUAUCUUCAGGUGACCUGAACUGGAGAAGCAAAUCUGCUAAGAAGCUGAUCCUUUCCCUUUUUUACUUCUUCCCUAUGUUCCUCUCUUCUGUGUUCGGUUCUGUUCUGCUUGCUUGUUGAAAACUGCUUCCACCACGCUUUUGUCAAUGUGUUCAUCAAUUUCUCUCUCUCUUUUCCCCAUAUUAUUGAGUGUCAUAGCAGUUAGUGAUUCAAUGAGAAGACUCUGCCUUUUCAGAAUCAGAGGGGGGAAUGACAGAAAAAUUGAUAAUAUAAUUGUUAAUAACAGAAAAUUGUUAAUACCAAAUGUUACUUGCCACUCCCUUGAUGAUUUUAGCAAUGCCAGGAUUUCAGAAAUGUUCUUAUAUUCCAUAUAUGUCCUUACAUAUACAAAUAUCCUUAAGAUAUGUAUUCUUGAUUAGGUUGAGCUGAACCCCCCUCCCCUAAGAGAUUUUACCUUGUAAAGGAACCUAGCUUAAGCUGGAUCUCAGUUUCUUCUUCCUUGCCCUCUUCCAUUGGAAUUCAUGGCUUGAAGGAUAAAACAGCCAGAAUGAAGUGGUUUUCCUUGCCUGGAUUGCCAAAAGCCACUGGGGUCUCCUGACUGGGGCUUGCUACCUUAUACUUCCUCCUCUCCCCUCUCCUCUUAAAGGUAUAAGAAGCUUUUGCAUGGGUCUUGUAGUUGGGAAAUCCAUUGGGCUUUGUACUUAUGUGACAUCUCCCAGAGUGUCAGGUUUACUACCCUGUUAUCUCAAUUAAACAUGCUUUAUCCCUCAACUCAUAGCUUUGAUUUAUUUCAGGAUGACAAAUUCAUACUUAAUAAGCUAUUUUUGGUGUUUUUAUCUUGGAGCUUUUUUUCUUUUCAGCUUGAUUGUGAGAUCUGGAUAAUAAAUAUCUUCCAAGCGCUUUUCAUUCUGGAGGAUAUUGCUGGCCAGCAAAAAGAAGAAUAUAAUGCCAUAUAUACUAAAGAUGGUGAGAAUAUACCAAGUGGCACUUGUCCCAUCAGGAAAUUUCAAGCUUCUGGUGGAGUUUCAGUGAAGGGAAGCUGUCCUUAAUAUAAGGGUGCCAGACUUUAUAACCAGGAUGUUUCCCGAAAUUCCUCAUGCCAACACCUGUCUACAGGUGUGGCAAAGACAGGACAGGAAACUCCAAAGAGUCAGACAUAAUGCCACUGGUGUCUUCACAAGGAAGGAAACCAGGACAGCACAUCUGAACAAAGCCUGAGGAGGAAGGGAAGAAGGAAGGAAUUAAAGAAAGGAGGAAGGAAGGAGGUGGUGGUUAUGGUAUUCAGGGAGGACUAGCCUCUCUGGUGUGAGGGAUUUUUGAGUCCUUUUCAGGGCUGCUCAUCGACCUUUGGGAUCUAACUGGUCACCCAACUCUCACCUGUGGUUCCAAGAAGCUAUAGCAUGUGCAGCAGCCACAACCCCAGGUAAACCGUCUCAGUAGAGGGGCUAAAUCAGAUUGAGGGUAACUGACAUUCCUCAAACUCAUCAGUGCACAAGCAUGUGAAGACUUCUGCAGCAGAAUGGUCGG
Phascolarctos cinereus (koala) is the source of this 2143-nucleotide non-coding RNA. NCBI's taxonomy places the organism in Eukaryota, Metazoa, Chordata, Mammalia, Diprotodontia, Phascolarctidae. The record is from RefSeq and is a predicted model, not a curated record.